UUAUGGCUCAGGAUGAACGCUGGCGGCGUGCUUAACACAUGCAAGUCGAACGGAGUUAUUGAGAAGCUUGCUUUUUGGUAAACUUAGUGGCGGACGGGUGAGUAACGCGUGGGUAACCUGCCUUAUACCGGGGGAUAACGUCUGGAAACGGACGCUAAUACCGCAUAAGCGCACGGACAGGCAUCUGUCUGUGUGAAAAACUCCGGUGGUAUAAGAUGGACCCGCGUCUGAUUAGAUAGUUGGUGAGGUAACGGCCCACCAAGUCGACGAUCAGUAGCCGGCCUGAGAGGGUGAACGGCCACAUUGGGACUGAGACACGGCCCAAACUCCUACGGGAGGCAGCAGUGGGGAAUAUUGCACAAUGGGGGAAACCCUGAUGCCAGCGACGCCGCGUGAGUGAAGAAGUAUUUCGGUAUGUAAAGCUCUAUCAGCAGGGAAGAAAAUGACGGUACCUGAGUAAGAAGCCCCGGCUAACUACGUGCCAGCCGCCGC
RNAcentral lists this ribosomal RNA (492 nucleotides) under uncultured bacterium. Its description in RNAcentral is "bacterial SSU rRNA". It matches the Rfam family "Bacterial small subunit ribosomal RNA", at positions 17 to 518 of the family's 1533-position model. The record is from RNAcentral.